CAGGAGGAGGAGCUACCCAUCAGCCUACAAAAUUAUAGAGUAUAUUUGCUUGGGAGAGUUCAGGAACAAAUUACCAGGUCUGCAGAAUUUGGUGUCACCUAAGCAGUUAAUAAGAACACUACAACUGCAGAGACACAGGUAUUGUGUGUGACAAUAACAGAGCUCUCUCCAAGCAAAGGUAAAGCUGUUACAAUCCAACCUUGUCCAACACCUGAGACGUGGAAGAGAAAACUUGGACAGUGUUCCUUAUUAAUAAGCGCAGCAGUUUGUUGACCAUCAGGGGAAUGCUGUAAGGCCCAGUGUUUUACCAUGUUGGAAUGGCUGAAGCAGUAAUUGAGAAGUAAGGAUUUAUACAAGUCACUUCAGUUCAACUUCAACUCUUUGAAACUGGGCCAAGGAGACCAAUGGAUAAUUUAUGACCCCUUUUGGAGACAAUUUACCUGGAAAUACAUAGUGAC
Long non-coding RNA from Mauremys mutica (yellowpond turtle), 458 nucleotides. RefSeq lists it as uncharacterized. The record is from RefSeq and is a predicted model, not a curated record. The transcript is spliced from 5 exons. NCBI's taxonomy places the organism in Eukaryota, Metazoa, Chordata, Testudines, Geoemydidae.